This 1003-nucleotide long non-coding RNA is filed under the name Homo sapiens (human). RNAcentral describes it as "HSALNT0244732". Lineage: Eukaryota; Metazoa; Chordata; Mammalia; Primates; Hominidae. The record is from RNAcentral.
AGGUCCUUCCACUUUAUGAUGUCACGAUACCCAGCACUUGCCCUUCACAGUACUUGACACAUUUGGAUGACUAUUUCCUGAAUGACUUUCUCACUCUCUAGAUGAAAAAUCUGUAAAACCAAUGAUCAUGCCUCUCUUGUUUACCAGCUUUUAUUCGCCCAGCAGCCAGCAUAGUGCUUAGAACAGUAGGCACCCAGGAAGUAUGUGGUUCAGACACUUAUUCUGGCUUGUGUUUUAUUUCAGCAUACAGCAGUGUUGGGUUAGGUGGGGUUGGUGUAGUCAUCUGGUGAUGUGGUUUACUUAAGCAGUCAAUGAGAAUGUUCUGAUCAAGAUAAGACUUCACACUUCUCCCACUGACUUAUUGAUAUCAAGGUCCCUUCUUGCUCUAUUCUGAAGACAGCUCCUACGACACUAAUUCAAGGAUCAGUGGCUGGAUUCGAGAAAAAAUGGAAAACGGUUGUUGCAAGGGUGUCAACUGCUUGGAAUGCUGCCGGCAACCGGGUUCUGAGACUCCCUAGGCUUUCUGAAAGCAUCUGAAUGUCUGUCCAACUGCAAGCUACGUCAUGGAAACAGGACCGCCCUGAGGGGCUCUCCAAUAUGAAUGCCAGGGCUGCCAGAUUCCACAGACAAGAAUAAAGGGCAUCCAGUGAAUUCUGAAUUUCAGAGAAGCAGCAUUUUUUUCAUUAAAAGUGGAUGAAGUUUUGUGUUUGCUCUACUGACCUGAAGUGAGGAACAACCACAUACAUCUUUGUCUUCACUCUGUCCAGCUGUCAACUGCAUUGUUCCCUCACGUCUUCCUGCAAAGUACCAUUAUUUCCACACCUUAAGAAUUAAAGAGUGAAGAGAAAACGACAAAAUGUUCUUGUUUAUCAGGAGAUGGGGGUGAGCUGAGCUUUCCACAAGGUCCUGAAUGGAUGAGAAGGACCCAAAACAUAUGGAAAAUAUGGAGAAUAGGGUAUAAGUAAUAAAAAUAAAAAUAAAAUAAAUAAAAUAAAUUGGGAAU